GGGUCGUUAGCUCAGUUGGUAGAGCAGUUAACUUUUAAUCAAUUGGUCGCAGGUUCGAAUCCUGCAAGACCCACCA
Molecule: transfer RNA, 76 nt
Filed under: Escherichia albertii
Lineage: Bacteria; Pseudomonadati; Pseudomonadota; Gammaproteobacteria; Enterobacterales; Enterobacteriaceae
Description: tRNA-Lys
Rfam family: tRNA
About the family: Transfer RNA (tRNA) molecules are approximately 80 nucleotides in length. Their secondary structure includes four short double-helical elements and three loops (D, anti-codon, and T loops).
Source: RNAcentral